UACGUAGGGGGCUAGCGUUGUCCGGAUUUAUUGGGCGUAAAGAGCGUGUAGGCGGCCAGGUAGGUCUGGUGUGAAAACUCGAGGCUUAACCUCGAGAUGUCAUCGGAAACCAUCUGGCUAGAGUCCGGAAGAGGAGAGUGGAAUUACUGGUGUAGCGGUGAAAUGCGCAGAUAUCAGGAAGAACACCAAUGGCGAAAGCAGCUCUCUGGGACGGUACUGACGCUGAGACGCGAAAGCGUGGGGAGCAAACAGG
This 253-nucleotide ribosomal RNA is filed under the name uncultured bacterium. RNAcentral describes it as "partial 16S ribosomal RNA". It matches the Rfam family "Bacterial small subunit ribosomal RNA", at positions 524 to 776 of the family's 1533-position model. The record is from RNAcentral.